GCAAAGAAGAUGAUGGCGAGAAAAAAACGAAGCCCAGUUUUGGCCGAUCGGCUCAUUCUUGAGCAUAUCGUCCUAUAAUUGGGUUUAUAGCCGUUUUAUUUGGAAAACGAGGGGGAAAUCAGGAGCUGCAGUUCUGCACACCUUUGAGCAGCAGUAUGAUGCAGGCAGGAGUCUGUCUGAGACAGGACACUGAGACAACACUACCAGAGCUCACUGAGCAGCACAGGAUCAGACAGAAAGAAGAGGAACUCAGUGGACUGGAGCCUGUCCACAUGGCAGAGUCAGAGAC
Molecule: long non-coding RNA, 289 nt
Organism: Anguilla anguilla (European eel)
Lineage: Eukaryota; Metazoa; Chordata; Actinopteri; Anguilliformes; Anguillidae
Exons: 3
Source: RefSeq, a predicted model, not a curated record